Molecule: ribosomal RNA, 608 nt
Filed under: Nanosellini sp. MNCN-AI414
Lineage: Eukaryota; Metazoa; Arthropoda; Insecta; Coleoptera; Ptiliidae
Description: SSU rRNA
Rfam family: Eukaryotic small subunit ribosomal RNA
Source: RNAcentral
GAUUAUAUGCUUGUCUCAAAGAUUAAGCCAUGCAUGUCUCAGUACAAGCCGCAAUAAGGUGAAACCGCGAAAGGCUCAUUAAAUCAGUUAUGGUUCCUUAGAUCGUACCCACAGUUACUUGGAUAACUGUGGUAAUUCUAGAGCUAAUACAUGCACACAGAGUCCCGGCCGGAGACGGCCGGGGUGCUUUUAUUAGAUCAAGACCGAUCGGCGGUACGCGUUCGCGCGUGCCGUCGUACACCCUCGUGGUGACUCUGGAUAACUUCUUGCUGAUCGCGCGGUCUCGUACCGGCGACGCAUCUUUCAAAUGUCUGCCUUAUCAACUGUCGAUGGUAGGUUCUGCGCCUACCAUGGUUGUAACGGGUAACGGGGAAUCAGGGUUCGAUUCCGGAGAGGGAGCCUGAGAAACGGCUACCACAUCCAAGGAAGGCAGCAGGCGCGCAAAUUACCCAUUCCCGGCACGGGGAGGUAGUGACGAAAAAUAACGAUACGGGACUCAUCCGAGGCCCCGUAAUCGGAAUGAGUACAGUCUAAACCUCUUCGCGAGGAUCAAUUGGAGGGCAAGUCUGGUGCCAGCAGCCGCGGUAACUCCAGCUCCAAUAGCGUAU